This 997-nucleotide long non-coding RNA is filed under the name Mytilus galloprovincialis (Mediterranean mussel). Lineage: Eukaryota; Metazoa; Mollusca; Bivalvia; Mytilida; Mytilidae. The record is from RNAcentral.
AAAAAUGUUUUAAAAAAUUAAAGAACCUUAGUGAGCACGCUCACAUACCCCACGUCCCCACAUUGUCAUUGGAGAAAUUAAAUAAGUAUAAGAAAAAAUAUUGAAUAAUAAUUUCCUGUCAAUAUACACAUCUACAUAGUAUGUCCUUAUUAUCUACAAAAUUUCAUGAAAUUCUGUUGUGUGUUUUCAGAGGAGUUGAGAUGACAAACUGUUGCAGAAGUACAUUGAAGCAAAUAAGUUCAAAGGGGCGUAACUCCUAGAAAUAAAAUUGAAUCGUAAUUUCCCGUCGAUAUGCACAACUACAUAGUAUGUCCUUAUUAUCUGAAAAGGUUUCAUGAAAUUCUGUUGUGUAGUUUCAGAGGAGUUGCGAUGACAAACUGUUGCAGUAAUACAUUGAAGCAAAUAAGUUCAAAGGGGCGUAACUCCUAGAAAUAAAAUUGAAUCGUAAUUUCCCGUCGAUAUGCACAACUACAUAAUAUGUCCUUUUCAUAUAAAAGAUUUCGUGAAAAUUCUGUUGUGUGGUUUGAGAGGAGUUGCGAUGACAAACUGUUGCAGUAGUACAUUAAGUAAAUAAGUUCAAAGGGGCGUAACUCCUAGAAAAAAAUUGAAUCGCAAUUUCCCGUCGAUAUGCACAACUACAUAGUAUGUCCUUAUUACCUGAAAAGGUUUUGUGAAAUUCUGUUGUGUGGUUUGAGAGGAGUUGCGAUGACAAACUGUUGCAGUAGUACAUUAAAGUAAAUAAGUUCAAAGGGGCGUAACUCCUAGAAAAAAAAUUGAAUUGCAAUUUCCCGUCGAUAUGCACAACUACAUAGUAUGUCCUUAUUAUCUGAAAAGGUUUCGUGAAAUUCUGUUGUGUGGUUUGAGAGGAGUUGCGAUGACAAGAAACAGGACUGACGGACUGACGGACGGACGGACGGACUGACGGACGGACGGACUGAAGGACGGACGGGUCAAAAACAUUAUACCCUCCGCAACUUCGUUGCGUGGGGUAUAACAA